CACUGUCACUCCUACGGGAGGCAGCAGUGGGAAUAUUGCACAAUGGGCGCAAGCCUGAUGCAGCCAUGCCGCGUGUGUGAAGAAGGCCUUCGGGUUGUAAAGCACUUUCAGUCGUGAGGAAGGUGGUGUAGUUAAUAGCUGCAUCAUUUGACGUUAGCGACAGAAGAAGCACCGGCUAACUCCGUGCCAGCAGCCGCGGUAAUACGGAGGGUGCGAGCGUUAAUCGGAAUUACUGGGCGUAAAGCGCAUGCAGGUGGUUUGUUAAGUCAGAUGUGAAAGCCCCGGGGCUCAACCUCGGAAUAGCAUUUGAAACUGGCAGACUAGAGUACUGUAGAGGGGGUAGAAUUUCAGGUGUAGCGGUGAAAUGCGUAGAGAUCUGAAGGAAUACCGGUGGCGAAGGCGGCCCCCUGGACAGAUACUGACACUCAGAUGCGAAAGCGUGGGGAGCAAACAGGAUUAGAUACCCUGGUAG
This 472-nucleotide ribosomal RNA is filed under the name uncultured bacterium. RNAcentral describes it as "bacterial SSU rRNA". It matches the Rfam family "Bacterial small subunit ribosomal RNA", at positions 325 to 793 of the family's 1533-position model. The record is from RNAcentral.